This 301-nucleotide ribosomal RNA is filed under the name uncultured bacterium. RNAcentral describes it as "partial 16S ribosomal RNA". It matches the Rfam family "Bacterial small subunit ribosomal RNA", at positions 509 to 807 of the family's 1533-position model. The record is from RNAcentral.
CAGUAGCCGCGGGAAUACAGAGGGUGCGAGCGUUAAUCGGAUUUACUGGGCGUAAAGCGUGCGUAGGCGGCUUUUUAAGUCGGAUGUGAAAUCCCUGAGCUUAUCUUAGGAAUUGCAUUCGAUACUGGGAAGCUAGAGUAUGGGAGAGGAUGGUAGAAUUCCAGGUGUAGCGGUGAAAUGCGUAGAGAUCUGGAGGAAUACCGAUGGCGAAGGCAGCCAUCUGGCCUAAUACUGACGCUGAGGUACGAAAGCAUGGGGAGCAAACAGGAUUAGAUACCCGCGUAGUCCCUGUCUCUUAUAC